AACGAACGCUGGCGGCAGGCCUAACACAUGCAAGUCGAACGCUGUAGCAAUACAGAGUGGCAGACGGGUGAGUAACGCGUGGGAACCUUCCCAAUGGUACGGAAUAGCUCAGGGAAACUUGAGGUAAUACCGUAUAAGCCCCUAGGGGGAAAGAUUUAUCGCCAUUGGAUGGGCCCGCGUCGGAUUAGCUAGUUGGUGAGGUAAUGGCUCACCAAGGCGACGAUCCGUAGCUGGUUUGAGAGAAUGACCAGCCACACUGGGACUGAGACACGGCCCAGACUCCUACGGGAGGCAGCAGUGGGGAAUCUUGGACAAUGGGCGCAAGCCUGAUCCAGCCAUGCCGCGUGAGUGACGAAGGCCUUAGGGUUGUAAAGCUCUUUUGCCGGGGACGAUAAUGACGGUACCCGGAGAAUAAGUCCCGGCUAACUUCGUGCCAGCAGCCGCCGUAA
RNAcentral lists this ribosomal RNA (449 nucleotides) under uncultured bacterium. Its description in RNAcentral is "partial 16S ribosomal RNA". It matches the Rfam family "Bacterial small subunit ribosomal RNA", at positions 29 to 523 of the family's 1533-position model. The record is from RNAcentral.